AUGGCCGAUUCCAAGCUGCCGGACAUCCAGUCCGGUUUCGAAAAGGGCAUUACCGACGUGAUGGCCGGCCUGUCGGGGCUGAACCUGAUUUAUGAAUCGG
Regulatory RNA element from Mesorhizobium sp., 100 nucleotides. It matches the Rfam family "Pyrrolysine insertion sequence mttB". The record is from Rfam. Lineage: Bacteria; Pseudomonadati; Pseudomonadota; Alphaproteobacteria; Hyphomicrobiales; Phyllobacteriaceae.